RNAcentral lists this ribosomal RNA (535 nucleotides) under uncultured bacterium. RNAcentral's name for it is "bacterial SSU rRNA". It matches the Rfam family "Bacterial small subunit ribosomal RNA", at positions 355 to 896 of the family's 1533-position model. The record is from RNAcentral.
UGGGGAAUCUUGCACAUUGGACGAAAGUCUGAUGCAGCAACGCCGCGUGGGGGAUGAAGCUUUUCGGAGUGUAAACCCCUUUCGACCCGGAAGAAUGCCCGCAAGGGUUUGACGGUACGGGUAUAAGAAGCCCCGGCUAACUACGUGCCAGCAGCCGCGGUAAUACGUAGGGGGCCAGCGUUGCUCGGAAUUACUGGGCGUAAAGGGUCCGUAGGCGGUGUGGCAAGUCGGGAGUGAAAUCUCUGGGCUUAACCCAGAGGCUGCUUCCGAAACUGCCAUGCUAGAGUGUGAGAGAGGCGAGUGGAAUUACGGGUGUAGCGGUGAAAUGCGUAGAUAUCCGUAGGAACAUCCGAGGCGAAGGCGGCUCGCUGGAUCACAACUGACGCUGAGGGACGAAAGCUAGGGGAGCAAACAGGAUUAGAUACCCUGGUAGUCCUAGCCCUAAACCAUCAGGACUUGGGGUGUGCCCUGUACGGGGCACGUCCCGUAGCUAACGCGUUAAGUCCUGCGCCUGGGGAGUACGGUCGCAAGGCUG